RNAcentral lists this ribosomal RNA (2461 nucleotides) under Megaluropus longimerus. RNAcentral describes it as "18S small subunit ribosomal RNA". It matches the Rfam family "Eukaryotic small subunit ribosomal RNA". The record is from RNAcentral. Lineage: Eukaryota; Metazoa; Arthropoda; Malacostraca; Amphipoda; Megaluropidae.
CCUAUCUGGUUGAUCCUGCCAGUAGUCAUAUGCUUGUCUCAAAGAUUAAGCCAUGCAUGUCUAGGUACGAGCUGUGUUUAACACGGCGAGACCGCGGACGGCUCAUUAAAUCAGUCGUGGUCCAAAUGGGCUAGUGUUAUCUUACUUGGAUAACUGUGGUAAUUCCAGAGCUAAUACAUGCACCUUAUCCCUGAUGGUUAUGUGUGCAGUUUGUUUUGUUACAUGGGGCUUGUCUUCUGUUUCAAAGUCGCAUUCUGUGCACGCCUGACGGGUGCUUUUAUUAGACCAAACCGCUGGGGGUAAGAGAUCCUGUGUGUGUCUCGUGUUGUCGUUUGCGCUGAGUUUACUCUCGCAUUCACACUCAUUCGCAUGCACCUCUUACUUGACUCGUGAUAUGGUGACUCUGGAUAACCAUUUUGACGAGCGCACGUACUUGACUCUUUGAGUGAGCGGCGCCGCCCUUUCGAGUGUCUGCCUUAUCAGCUAUCAACCGUUCGUUACACGCGACCGAUGGCUUUGACGGGUAACGGGGAAUCAGGGGCAAAUUACCCAAUCCCAGCACAUGGGGGAGGUAGUGACGAAAUCUAACGAUGCGGGCGCCCUUUCUGGGGCCCCGCAAUCGGAAUGAGCACUUUCUAAAACACCUGUUGAGGAGCUACUGGAGGGCAAGUCUGGUGCCAGCAGCCGCGGUAAUUCCAGCUCCAGCAGCAUCUAUUAAAGUUGCUGCGGUUAAAAGGCUCGCAGUUGAAUGUCAGUGCCGAGCGUAGGUCAGGUGGACGUUGGGGCGUGGGAUCCGGCUGAUCGUGUGUGUCUGUUUCGUCUUGCACCUCCGUGUGUGAGUCAAGCGUGGCACGCGGUUAGUUCUCACAAGCUCCCGUCCGUGACAAGCCUCCUCGCUUGCGUACAUACUGGGAAUUUGUAUACUGAGUGUGUAGCGGUGUUUCUGUUUACUGAGUGCGGCCGUGUGUUGGGUGCAUCUGGUUUAUGUUUGACAUUCUCCUAGUGCAUCGCUUACCGGUGUCUUAGCCUGUUUACAUAGCCUUACACUACUCUAAUGGUUUCAAUGUCACCUUGAGUAAAUCAGAGUGCUCAAAGCAGUCGUAAAGGGCUCUUAUGCCCUGUGAACAGUCUUGACAGACUGACUUGAUUUUGCAUGGGAUGUCGGAAGACGACGUCGAGUGCUGGCUCAGAGAAUUGAUAUCAGUGGUAUAAGCCAGCCUCGACGUACUGAUUAAAAGGAAUGGUCGAGGGCAUUGGUAUUGCGAGGCGAGAGGUGAAAUUCUAUGACCCCCGCAAGACCGCCUGAAGCGAAAGCGUCUGCCAAGGACGUUUUCAUUAAUCAUGAACGAAAGUUAGAGGAUCGAAGGCGAUCAGAUACCGCCCUAGUUCUAACCCUAAACGAUGCCAACCAUCAAUCCGCGCGUAGCACCCUUUUUGACGGGCUCGGCGGGCAGCUCCUUAUUCACGGGAAACCAGAGUCUCUGGGUUCCGGGGGGAGUCUGGUUGCAAAGCUGAAACUUAAAGGAAUUGACGGAAAGGCACCACCAGGCGUGGCCGCCGCUUAAUUUGACUCAACACGGGCCAUCUCACCAGGCCAGCACUCUUGCAUGAUUGACAGAUUGAAAGCUCUUUCUCGAUUCAGUGGAUGGUGGUGCAUGGCCGUUCUUAGUUGGUGGAGUGAUCUGUCUGGUUAAUUCCGAUAACGAACGAGACUCUCCCCUGCUAACUAGUCGGUUGGAUCUUGCUCGGUGAGUCGUGCCCCAAGUGUUUGCGCCUUUGGUUAGGUGUUGCAUGCGCCUCUUGCGUGGGGAAUAAUGUUGUCGUGUGCGUGUUCUCAUCGUGUGCUUCGGUAUGCGGUGGGUGUGCGUGUCGAUGGCACCUCAUGCUUGUGUGUGCAAUUACCCCUUUGGUUUGCGACCUUGGAUCGUACACUCCAAGUCCGCCGCUUAUGCAAAAAUUCUUCUUAGAGGGAUCCACGGUUCUGAAGCCGUCAGAGACUGAGAGCAAUAACAGGUCUGUGAUGCCCUUAGAUGCUCUGGGCCGCACGCGCGCUACAAUGCCGGGUUCAGCAGGUUUUUUUCCUAUUCCGACAGGAACGGGUAACCCUCUGAAAGCCCAUUUGAUUACUCCCAACCUCUCGUGUGUGUUAUGUGUUCUGCACCGUUUCUAUGCGAUGUUGGUGGCGUGCUUGGGCCUGGGGCUUGCAAUUCUUUCCCACAAACGAGGAAUGCCUAGUAGUGACGGAUCACUGAGUCCGCCGUGACUCAGUCCCUGCCCUUUGUACACACCGCCCGUCGCUACUACCGAUUGGGUGUACGAGUGAGAGCCGUGGACUGGCAUCCGUAGCUGUAUUCUUAUAUGCGGCCAUCGGUAUUGACGGAAAGAGGUCCGAACUCGUGCACUUAGAGGAAGUAAAAGUCGUAACAAGGUUUCCGUAGGUGAACCUGCGGAAGGAUCAUUA